RNAcentral lists this long non-coding RNA (12477 nucleotides) under Olea europaea (common olive). RNAcentral's name for it is "long non-coding RNA (OEUR_LNC002259)". The record is from RNAcentral. Lineage: Eukaryota; Viridiplantae; Streptophyta; Magnoliopsida; Lamiales; Oleaceae.
AAACAUAAGAUGUUAUGGUUAUCCAGAAGUGCAGUUAUUGAAGUAGUUAUCAAGUAACCUUAUCACGAUCCACGAUUCAAGGAGUUUAGAUGAAGACGGUUGAAUGACAAAGAGUAGUGGCAACAGUUAGAGACGAUAGUUCCACGACACGUUAGCCACCAUAAAGAAAGUGGAUAGUUAUAAAGUAAUCAAGCAGUUUCUAAGCGGUUGAUCACGAAAAAAUCAUCAAGAGAAUAUAAAAGGAAGAAAAGACAUAGAGCGAAGAACCCGAAUCAAACACUCUCAAACAGAGAAUAUGUAAUUUCAAUUUCUUAGUUUAGACUUAAACAUUUCUUUUCAGUAUUCGUGUGCUUGCACCCCUUAGAGGCAUUAUGUUUAGUUCCAAUUGUAAAGUCAUCGUUAAUAAAACACCUCUUUUUGGGACUUUGUCUCAAACUGUUUGUUCCUUACACAAUCGUCUGAUCCCUUUUUAAUUGUUAGCGACUACGUGCGCGAAACAAUUUGGCACGCCGGUGGGACCUUGGUGUUUGGUGUUGGAGAUACAAAAGGUGAAACAAUACGCCUCAGAAAUUUGAUAAGGAAGCAAGUCAGGGAGGAGUCCAGUCUGUGAUUGAGCGAUAUGAGGAGCAACAUAGCUCUCCACGAACAGAUGGACAGAAUCAGAGCAGUCAUAGUCGUUACGAACCAAUGACAGAGUUGAGUCCUUGAACUAUGCGUGCAUUACUUGGAGAACUUACACAGGAUGUCGAUGAACAGGUAAAUCUACGAAAUAUUCAUAAUAUGGAAAGACUUACCCAGAAUGGGAAUGCACACUAUGAUAAUAUGGUCAAACAACUGAAUACUUUGAAUGAAAUAAUGAAUAAGUUAGUAGGCCAAAUUUGUCAGCCAGUCGUGCCUCUUGCAAAUCACUUCCAAACUAGGACAAUUGUGGGACAUAAUUCCCCAGUCUUAAGUCCAAAUUAAGGGGUAGAAUCACCUUUUGGUCCCUCUACUUCAAACCAGGGGAUGGUGUGAUGCCAAAUCAGAAUAGUGGCAAUGGUACAUCUAACUUAGGGGGUAACCUAAAUGUAAGAGACAAUGUCCUAAAUAAUGGACAGAAUGCCCCACGUGUUAAUGAUGGAGUAAAUAUUCAGGCUAAUGGUAACAAUGACCCAAAUCAUGGCAACUUUGUUGCCAAUCAAAGACCAAAUAUCAGGCCUCAAGCAAAUCAACCAAUCAAUCAACCUGUAGGAAUUCCAUAUGACCCCAACGUCAUGUUGAGGAAUCAAAUUAUGGAAAUAAUACAGGAUCAGACGGCUUUUGGGGUACGUCCUGUCACUCGGCCAACUUACGCAAAGUCAUAUCUUGAUUGGGUAGACCAAGCAUAUCCAUGGCCUAGAGGGUAUAAAGUGCCAGAAUUCUCACUAUUUAUCGGUUUAGGAGAGGUGUCUACACUAGAACAUAUAGAGCGAUUCACACUGCAAAGUGGUGACGUAACUGAUUACCAUAAAAUGAGGUUGUUCCCUAGUUCAUUAACAGGAGUAGCUUUCUCCUGGUUCAUCAAUUUGCUAGCGAACUCUGUUCAAAUAUAGCAACAAUUGGAGCAAUUGUUCCAUGCUUAGUUUUAUAAGACCGAGUCCGAAGUUACUUUGACCGAUUUGACGAAUCUACGUCAAAUGCCAAACGAAUGGGCAGAAGGUUUCCUUCAAAGGUUCAAGACAGCAAGAAGUAAAUGUUUUGUACCUUUGCCUGAAAAUGAGUUUGUCAAAAUCUUUCAAGGUUGUCUAAACUUUGAUUUGAAAAAGAAGUUCCAAGACAAGGAAUUUCUCGAUCUUUUCCAAUUGAUAGCGAACAUGAUUAGGUAUGAACGAUUAAUAAGAAAAGAAGAGCAAAUGAAAAAUUCUAGCAAAGGGACUUAUUAUAGAGAUCCAAAUUUUGAUGUUCAUACCAUUAAUGACGAGUAUUACGAUCAAACCGAAAUGUGUUUGGCCAAACUAAUCAAAGGAGACACGUAUACUUGUCCUAUAAUGGCUAAGCCUAGAUCGUUGGGCAAGGAUGAGUCUAUAAAAGAUGAAAACAAAAAGGCUAGAAUGUUCUUGUUCGAUGUAACCAAAGCUGACCUUAUAUUUGAUAAACUAUAUAAGGAUAAGCAGAUAAAGUUGAGCGAUAAACAUAAAUUGCCAAACCCUGAACAAGUUAAGGGUAAAAAAUAUUGUAAGUGGCAUAAUGUAUGGUCACAUUUGAGGAAUAACUAUUUGGUUUUUUGCCAUGUGUUACAGGAUGCCAUUGAAUCAGGACGAAUUACGUUCGAGAAUAAGAGGAAGAUGGCAGUGGAUGAAAACCCUUUUCCACAACCACUUGGGCUGAACAUGGUGACGACUGGUUUCAAAAACAAGUUGUCAAAAUUCAAGUUGAUUAUAGAUAAUGGAGAAGAGGACCCUGGACCAUAUCCCAGUGUCUUUGAACGUAUCAAAGGGAAAGAGCCUGAAAGGGAUGAAGACAUCCUGUGUCCAAGAUGUAAAAGAGAAGUGAGUGGAAAUAUAAAGAAACCAGGGAUAUGGCAGCAUCACGGUCGCCCUAGUUUUUUCCCAAACGCUCAGCCUGGUAAAGGGCGAGGUACAUCGUUCUAUAGGGGACCGCCUUUUGAGAGGCAGUUCAGGCCAGUGAAUAAUGGGAGAACAUUCAGGCCGUAGCCUCGCCAACCAAAUGUAUGACAUUCGUUCCAAUAUAAUGUAGGAAAGGUGAUACUCUUCAACGAGAUGACUAGAACCCAACAAAUGCGUUUUCAACGGAACUAUGGACGAGUGAUGAGGUAACAACAGGGAAUGCCACGUCCUAAGGAGCCUGAGCUACUCGAGGUUGCCAAUCAAAAUAUUCUUGAAGACAGUAUGGAGACUGGUACAGGUGAAUCGAUGAAAGAAUUGCCAGAAAGUUUUUCUGGGAGGUCGAAGUUUGAGCGAGACAGAAGAGAUAGAGAUCCAGAUCAAUCCCUUACUAUUCAGUUCAGUACGUUACCUCCUGUCAUGGCUAAUAACUAUUUGCUAGCCAAUGAAUUCAAGAAUAAAGAGAAAGAAGAAGAAGAGAGGGAGGAUAACGAAGAAAAAAGCAUGCGUGCUGGAAUAUGAAGAAGGCCAAACUUCUAGAGGGGCAUACGAUGAUGAAGGAGAUGAUGGUAUGACAGAUAUCGAAGAAGAAAUUGAUUUGGAAGCAGAAAGAAGAAAAAGAGGAAUAUCGUGCAAUACUCUGUUGAACCAACUAUAUCGAGAGGGAGUUCGUGAAGUGGACUUGUUGGGGGAGCCGUCUGGGCAUUCUUUCGAUUAUUACGUGUUGUACGGGACGCCCAAAAGGAAAAAGAGAGUGCCUCGCUCUGAAAAGUAUGGAUCACCUUCAAGAAUAAUGCAUCCUCCCACAGGUUGGGUAACUGAAGAAGAAGCAUUAGAAAAUAGUAAAAAGGAAACGGAAGCUCAGUACGACAUGCUGCACGUUGACUUAUCACAAAAGAAUAAUUCGACAGAGGACAAGUAGGAAGUGGAAAUAGAUUCUACCAAAAAGGUUAUUUUUAAGCAGCCAGCCAUGAAGUUAACUAAACACUUGAUGCCAUUAUACGUUAAAACUCUAGUUAAAGGCAUACCUGUGGCAAAAGUGUUUGCCGACAAUGGAGCAACUAUAAACACCAUUCCAUCUAGGAUGAUGAGGAAAUUUGCAAAGACAGAAAACGAUAUGAUCCCAACAGAAGUCGUCCUUACGAGUUUCAAUGGAGGAGCAACUUCAGCUAAAGGGGUUAUGCCAUUGGACAUAACUAUAGGGAUAACUACUAGGACCACAGUCUUCUUUGUAAUAGAUGUCCUACUAGUUACAAUAUGUUAUUAGGAAAGGAUUGGAUACACGGAAGUAGGUAUAUCCUCAUCGCUCCAUCAAUGCCUGAUUUUUUGGAAUGACAAAGGCGAAGCAGAAGUGGCGCAAGUCGAUCAUAGACCUUUUGUAGCAGAAGCAAACUCAGUAGAAAGGUUCAUGUAUGAAGGAAAUUAUGGACCUGUCAGAGUAGUCCAAGAUGGAGAAGAAACUCAAAUUGUCGCGCAGAGUGAAGAGCCGUUUUCGGUGGAUGCACUCACUGAAAUGUUCAGUCAGAUGAGGCCAAACAUAGUGGCCCUAGAAGAGCCAGUAAUUGGCAAAAGAGUAAUCAAUGAGUUUUAAAUGAGUUGUAAGCAAUAAAGGCAAAUGGCCGAUAUUCAAGCUUUCAAAGCCAAAUUAAUGGCUUUCAAUAAAGAAUGCAAGGACAAAACGAAAGAAGAAGCAGCCUUGAAAGCAUUGAGAGACAAAUUGACAGUGUUCGAGUUGGAACAAAGUAUUGGCCGAGAAGUCAACAAGGAAGAUUGUUUAGAAGAAGAAGUGCCUACAAGGGAAUUGGACGAUGAAGUGAUGAGGAUCGCCAAGCCUGGAUAGGCUCAAGCACAAGACCCUCUGAUUAAAGUGAAUAUUGACAAUGAAGGAGAAGAUCGCCCAAUAUUCAUCAACCAAAUGCUCGAUCAAGAGGUUAGUGAUAAAUUAAUCGCUUUAUUAAAGAAAUAUAAAGAUUAUUUUGUUUGGGAAUAUGAACAUAUGCCUGGUUUAGAUAGAGAUUUAGUGGAACAUAGGUUGCCAACCAAGCUAAAUUUUAAGCCUCAUAAGCAACCUCCUAGACAUUUUGCUCCCAACGUACUUCUUGAGAUUAAGAAAGAAGUAGAGCGAUUAUUAAAAGCAGGCUUUAUUAGAACAGCCAGAUAUGUGAAUUGGUUGUCCAAUAUCGUGCCAGUGCUAAAAAAGAAUGGUAAAUUAAGGGUGUGCAUAGACUUUAGGAAUUUAAAUAUAGCCACACCUAAAGAUGAAUAUCCAAUGCCCACAGUAGACUCUUUAGUAGACUCAACUGCCGGACACGUAAUGUAUUCCUUCAUGGAUGGGUAUUCAGGAUACAAUCAAAUUUAUAUAAUUGAGGAAAAUAUACACAAAACUGCCUUUAGAUGCCUUGGGUCUCUAGGAUGUUUUGAAUGGGUAGUUAUGCCUUUCGGCCUGAAAAAUACAAGAGCAACUUAUUAAAGGGCAAUAAACCUGAUUUUUCAUGAUAUGAUAGACAAGUUUGUUGAGGUGUAUGUAGAUGAUAUAGUGGUCAAAUCCAUUAAAGAAGAAGACCAUUUUGAACAAUUGAGAUGUUCAUUUGAACGAAUGAAGCAAUAUAAACUAAAAUUGAAUCCCUUGAAAUGUGCAUUUGGUGUUAAUACAGGAAACUUCCUUGGUUUCUUAGUACACAAAAGGGGGAUUGAACUUGAUAAAAAUAAAACGAAGGUCAUUUUAGAGGCCAAACCACCUAACAACAAAAAAGAAUUGCAAAGGUUUCUAGGCCAAGUAAACUUUUUCAGACGCUUUAUUUCUAACUGUGCAGGGCGAACUAAAACUUUUUCGCCACUUUUAAAAUUGAAAAAUCAGGAUGAAUUCGUCUGGAAAGAAGAGCAUCAAAAGGCUUUCGAAAGCCUAAAGACAUAUUUAUCAAGUCCACCAGUGUUGAUGUCACCAAUCCAAGGACGGCCAAUGAAAGUAUAUGUAUCGGCUGAAAAAGAAUCAAUAGCUGGAAUGGUCGCGCAAGAAGAUCAAUUUGAUGAAAAAAGGGCGAUUUACUACUUGAGUAGACGGUUAACAAAAUGUAAAUGUAAUUAUUCUGCCAUUGAAAAAUUAUGUCUUGCAUUGUAUUUCACAUGUACAAAAUUAAAGGCUUAUUUACGGCCCGUAACCGUUUAUUUGAUUUCCAAAGUAAAUUUGGUUAAGUAUAUGUUCUCUCACCCUAUUUUACACCAAAUGGUAGGCCUUUGGAUGUUAGCAUUAUCAGAAUUCGAAAUACAAUACAUACCCCAAAAGGCAAUAAAAAAUAGGCGUUGACUAAUUUUCUGGCCGAUCAUCCAUGCCUUAACAUGCUUGAAGAAAUUGAAUUAGAAAUCAAUUAAUUCGAAGUAAAACCUUGGGAUUUGUAUUUCGAUGGGUCAAAAAUCUCUAAAGGUGCAGGAGUAAGAGUAGCAUCGAUAAAUCCUUUAGGGUUUGCUACAAGUUUGCAUUCACUUUGGAUAGGAUGUGCACCAACAAUCAAGCCGAAUAUGAAGCCUUAAUCGUGGGCCUAGAAUUAAUAAUAGAUAUGGAAGUAAAGAAUGUGAUCGCUAGAGGCGAUUCUCAAUUGGUCAUUCACCAAUUCAUUGGUGAUUUUAAGUGCCAAAGUGAUUCCAUUAUAAAUCUAUAUGAAAUCGCCCAAGAGUUGUUGGAAGAAUUCGACCAAAUAGAGCUUCAAUGCGUUAAUAGAAUAUAUAAUGACGUGGUAAAUGAGUUGGCCCAGAUGACCUCAGGGUACUCGAAGGCUUUAAAUUGGAAGUCUACUUAUGAGUAUUGAACAAUAUUGCCCGUGGUCCAAAGAAGGGCGAGAACGAUUGAAAUUCAUUGCAUACAAGAUGGAGAUGUAAUAGAUUGGAGGGCAGAGAUUAAAAGGUUCCUUAAAGAACCUAAUAUAGGAAAUAGUAAAAAAAUGAAGUCGCGUUUGCUAAACUAUACACUGAUAGAUGAAGAGUUGUUUAAGAAAUGCUCUGAUGGUAUAUUGUUAAAAUGUGUAAGUUUGUAAGAAGUUAGGACGAUCAUGGUUGAAGUGCAUGAAGGGAUAUGUGGAGCUCAUCAAGCUGGCCAAAGUAUAAGAUGGUUAAUUAUUAGGAAUGGAUAUUUUUUGCCAAAGAUGGGAGAAUCAUGCGUUCAGUAUGCAAAGAGUUGACUAGCAUGCCAAAAGCAUGGUCCAAUACAAAGGGCGCCAGCACGAGAGAUGGCACCUAUUAUCAAACCUUGGCCGUUUAAGGGUUGGGCGAUAGACCUGAUAGGGAAGAUUUAUCCCCUAUCGACCAAGCAACAUACCUUUGUUAUAGUUGCAACUGAUUAUUUCACUAAGUGGGUAGAAGCAAUACAUUUAAAGGAGAUCACACAAAAGAAUGUCAUAAAAUUUAUCCGUGAUCAUAUUAUUUAUAGAUUUGGAAUUCCACAAACUUUGAUGGUAAAUCACGGAACUUCUUUAAAUGGAGAUCAAGUGAAUGAAUUCUUGAGCGAGUUUGGAGUUAAAUUAGUAAACUCCACACCAUAUUACGCUCAAUCCAACGGACAAGCAGAAUCUUCUAAUAAGAUUCUAAAAAAUAUCAUAAGAAAAAUGAUAGAUGAAAAUACCAAAAAUUGACACGAAUGUCUUAACAAGGCCUUAUGGGCUUAUAGGCUGUUGCCUUGGUCAAGUACCAAAAUUACUCCUUUCCAACUUACUUAUGGACAGGAGGCCAUUUUGCCUAUGAAAAUCAACGUGCAAUCGAUCAAAGUGUGUUUGUAACAUAAGUUAAGUGGUGAUGAGUAUACCGAAUCACUAGUUCAAAACUUAUUAGAGUUGGACAAAUUAAAGUUGGACGUCCUAGAUAGAUUGCAAGUUCAAAAAUGAAAGAUGGCUAAGUUUUAUAAUAAAAAAGUUAUAGCCAAGUUGUUCAGCCUGAGCGAAUUGGUUUGGAAAACAAUACUCCCUUUAGAUAGCAAAGAUCCAAAGUAUGGAAAGUGGUCGCCCAAUUGGAAAUGACCAUAUAAAGUAAAUAGUGUGUUGCCUAAUGGAGCCUAUCAUUUGGAAGAUUUAGAUGGCACCAAACGCAUGAGAUUCAUUAAUGGUAAAUAUUUAAAAAAAUAUGUUCCUUCAUUAUGGAAAAGUGAACAAAUAAAAGGGUAAUCAAAUCGCGUUGAACGAUUGUAGAUAAAAAAGGGUCAGAGAGAAAUACGUUCAAAUAAAUUCCUUUAUUAUCAAACGUUCAUUACAAAGUUGCAAGAUACAAAAUACUAAAUGCUUUAUAAGCUACAAUUAAGAGCGAACUAAUCUCCCGGUCGAUCGUCAAGUAAGAGGGUGAACUAGCAUUAAUUGCCAUCCUGAUCGCAUUGCUGCAAAGGUAAGCAGAGAGGCCGAGAAACACUCUCAGCAAGCAGAAGGGAAGAGAAGCACCCUCAUCUCGACUACCUAAAUGCGUCACUGCAAUAAUGGGCAAGGACACAGAGAAGCACUCUCAGCGAGUAAGGUUGCUUGACAGGCAUCCUAAAAAAUUACCUUCCAUCAUUGAACUCCUUGUAAAGAACAUGGAGAUGAUGGGAAGAACUUUGUUGGCCAAAGAAUAUUUCCUAUAUCUCCCAUACCAAAGGUGACAUCAAAACAAGUGGCAAAAUAGGUGGAUCAAAUGAUCCAGUUCUAUGGAAGACGAAAAUUCUGGAUCAAUCGUCGAAAUGCCAGCAAAUUAGUUUUUGAGGAAAAGAAUGGAAAUAAAAAUGAAAAGUGCGAAAUAUACGUGCAUUUAUAGGAGCGUGAAGAGACAGAAUAUGAACAGCCACAUUCAUGCCUAGUAAUUGGAGUCAAAGGGCCCAAAGUUUUGGGAAAAGAGAUAGAAAUACCAAAAGAAAAUGUACAUAAAUCUUAUCAUAAAGCAGUUAAAUGCUUGGAGGGUUGACGAUUAAGGACAAACGUCAAUAAAUACACAAGAAGACAAAUUAGUUGUUCAUUAAUAACAAUGGCUGCUGUUACAUCCAAAAUUGGCAAUGGCUAUCAGUACGAGGUUACAAGAGGAAAGUUAAUACGAAGUUACAAAAAGAAAAGUUAAGGCAUUAGAUGUAUUAAUUACAAUUCGCCCCAGGCCGAACGAAUUCUUUCCCUAAGUCUCCCCCAAUCCUCGCCGUGCUGAGAAAAAGUGACAUUCAAUUUAGCUACAUAAUCAUCAUCAACCUCCAGCUUCUUGUACUGCUCGACCAAAGAUUUGGUUCGCUCAAUUCCUUGGGAAGCAUUACGCUUUUUAGCAGCUAUUCUCGCCUUGCAAUCAUCCAUCCUUACUUGAAGCUCCUUUAUCUGUGCAGCCAAACUGGUCAUCAAAGAGUCUUCAAUCAUAACUUUGGAAGAGAUUUCUUUCAAUUCGUCCUCAACUUUGUUGAUCUCCCGAAGCAAAAACUCUCUUUUAGAGGCAGCGCGAAGAUAUUGAGUACUCCUAGCCUUCAGUUCAACAUUUUUGGCCAGCAAAGAGAGGAUGUCAGAGUGGACAACUUUCAACGUCGCUUUAAAACCAGCAGAAAUGUUGAGCGACGGAAGUAUCAGUGCUUGCGCCAACUUCGCACUCAAAUGCUCAAGUUUAUCCUUAUAUUUGGCAGCACUAGCCUGAUCGAUGUCCAUAUCCAUAAAAUAUACAUACUCAAAUAUCGACUGCUUGAGGAACUUCAUGUCUUCUUCUGAAGAAGCAGUAGGACGACCGGUUGAAGCAGGGCGAGAUGUCUUGACUUGCCCCCAGGAAGUGAACAAGUCCUGGAUGGAACGUACAAUCUCAUCAGCAUCCUGCAAAGAAAAAUGCCAACAUUGAAGGUUUUCACUACAAUAAACAAAGUGAAAAUAAAAGUGAAGCAAAAUGUUACCUCAUCAGCAAUCUUGGGGGGUGACAAAUCACCAGUUGGCUCCACCACCUGUGGCCCCACCACCAGGGGAGACUUCCCCUUGUCUGGACGAGAAGACUCUACCACAAUGGGCAGACCCAUGGGAGCCUCUGCAUGAUUAAAGAAGCAACAAAUCAGAAACCAAUAGCACAAGCAAAGGUAAAACAUCAAAAAUGUAUUACCUUCUGGUUUGACGUUUGGGGGUCGGCGCCCUGGGAAGAAGGUGGGUUGUCCAUUGAUUGUGAUGAAUGUUCCGGGACUGAAGGUUUCUCUUUAAGCGUAGUCCUUUCAUCAGCUAGUUUGGACGAAGCAGCUCCAGCAGAGGAUGAUGGAGCAGGAGCUGCCAACACCUAAACCUUCAAAGGAGAGGCUGAACUUUUCUGAGAAAUCCAAGAAAACAUUAGCACAUAGAAAGGUAUGCUUGUGAGUAAACAAAAUUCAAUUCGAUUACCUUUCUCCUAACGAUGAGAGGAGUAUUAUCAUCAUCAUCAUCCUUCUAAAUGGGAGAUGCUGAAGCUGGCCGUUUGCUGCUUGGGGCGCUCUUAGCUGCAGUAGGUUUGGCAGGUACAGAAGUAGAGGGACGAAUAGAUUGUUUAGCAUGAGCGGAGGAGGAAAGAUUCCUAAUGGACACAGGGGUGACCAAAAUAGGAGAAGUGGAAGGAAUGUUCGACUGAUUCAGUGAAUGGAAAACACGAUUAGCAUCAAUUACAAAUAAUCUGCACUUUACUGAUGGCCAGAGUUGUUCAAAAAGGGGGUAAACGGCACGACUAAGAUUGAAGGGGGCUAAUGAAAAGUUACUCGUCAAAAGAAUACUGCGAGCAUCUAUAGCUUGUGCCUCUACCUUAUUAAUGGUGUGAAAGCGGUCUAUCAAAUUUUUUGAAUAACAAGGGGGAACAGGCUAAGUUUGGCCAAAACGAAGUUAGCGAACAAAAAAUUGGGAAGCAUAUAUUUCAACCCCAGCUUUGGCAUUGGUUUCGGUUAAAAUAUCAUGGAACAACUCCCUCCCACUCAAAAACUGAACCCAAACGAGCAGAAAGGCGCUCGCACUGUCCAGGGUGGAUGGAGGUUGCACAUAAUCUGGAGUUAAAUGAGCAAGAAAUGGAAAGAAAGAAGGAAUUGAAUUUAAAGUAUAAAAUAAUGAAAAAAUAUCCCUUCUGAACAUAUUUACAGGGCUCAAUGGCUAGCCCAUAGCAGCUAGCAGAACGAAGGGACAUAGAUAGAGCACCAAGUGAUGGAAAAUAGGCUCUCAACCACAGUUGAGCGAACCAAAGAGGCCCACUGUCAGUGGGAGAUGCACCAUUCUUCAAUUGAAAUUAAAAAGAACUCAUGUCUCUAUAGAGGGCAGCCAAAAAGAAGGAACACAAAUUCAAAGACCUACCACGCAUCAAUUCGUGCGCUAUGGGUAAAUAGCUCAUAGAAGGCUUCAAACUGGGUACACACAGGAUAUAUUUACAAAGCCAUAUCUGAAGAAAGGCCACACACUCAGCGUGGCAAGGUUCAGCGCUUGAGUGAUUAUGACAACUUUGCAAACUUGAAUAGGACUCGAAAAGUUUUUUGUUAAAUUUUGGGGCAACACCAAAAAUCAAAAUACCAGGGAAAAUGGUGUCGCCUAAAGGUGGAAGAUUUAUUAGGACCCCAACAUCCCUUAAAGUGAUUGACAAGGGACCAAGAGGGAAAAUAAAAGUAUUAUAUUCAAAAGACCAAAAACUUAAAGUAAUAGGAAAAAGUGCUGGGUCAAAAAUUGGGGGUUGAAGAGAGAUUUCUAAUAAAUCAAAAAUCCUAGCACGAUCAAAAAUCGCCUUAGUAGGACCAUGGCCCACAAGGCGAGCAUGCCAUCUACGGAAAAUAACAUCAAAUUUAGGCCAAGUGCUAAUACCUUUUUCGCGAAUAGGCCUCAGCGGCAAAGAGUUCAAGAAUGGAAGGCCUUGAGUACAAGGAAACAGCUGACCCACCGCCACUUGUUCGACGAUUUCGGCGUUGGUGAAUGAAGGACCCAGAUAGAACUCAUCAAGUCAUUGGUUGGUGCAAGAAAGUUCGGAUUUACAUAUAACUGAGUGAGGAUUUUCUAGAAAUCAUCGAAGCUAAAAGAGUCGUCAGAUUGGGUUUGUGGAGCAGUCAUUGAGAACGAAAUAUAGUUUUGUUAAGGUUUGCUCGAAAAAUGUAGCAGAGAAGCAAGAAGAUGAACAGUGGUAUGGCGAGAAAGAAGCUCGAAAUAAUGAUACGUGAAUUAGUGGUACAACAAAAUGACGUGUCUUUGGGGUUUAUAAGGGUUUGUAGCGUCGCAUUUUUUCAGGCUAUGAAAGGAAAUAAUGAUUGAAAUUCUUGGGAAUUUCAAAUGUUGUUGGGAAACACAAAGUAAAUAUGGCAAAGAUUAAUAAUUUGUAUUAAUUCUGCCAUAUUGGGGGUAAUUGUUGACACACUAAAAGUGCAACCCAAAUCGAAUAGCCCGGGGAAUGAAGUCCAAUUAGGGAAUCCCCAAAUCAAAUAGCCCAAAGAAUGAAGCUCAAUUGGGAAAUUCAGGAUAAAGGCCCAAAUAGGGUUACGAAUGAAUGCAGUGGAAGCCCACGAACACGGUAAAAUCAUCGCCCAAGCUUGCAAGACCCCUAAGAUCUGAGCGAAUGAAUUUUCUUACAGUCGCCCAUAGUUAUGACCCUAUUCUCGUCCAAACCUUCGAAUCGCCCAGGAUCUUAGCAAACAUAAGAUGUUAUGGUUAUCUAGAAGUGCAGUUAUUGAAACAGUUAUCGAGUAACCUUAUCACGAUCCACGAUUCAAGGAGUUUAGAUGAAGACGGUUGAACGACAAAGAGUAGUGACAGCAGUUAGAGACGACAGUUCCAUGACACGUUAGUCACCAUUAAGAAAGUGGGUAGUUAUAAAGUAAUCAAGCAGUUUCUAAGCGGUUGAUCACGAAGAAAUCAUCAAGGGAAUAUAAAAGGAAGAAAAGACAUAGAGCGAAGAACCCGAAUCAAACACUCUCAAAGAGAGAAUAUGUAAUUUCAAUUUCUUAGUUUAGAUUUAAACA